Molecule: ribosomal RNA, 461 nt
Filed under: uncultured Actinomycetales bacterium
Lineage: Bacteria; Bacillati; Actinomycetota; Actinomycetes; Actinomycetales
Description: bacterial SSU rRNA
Rfam family: Bacterial small subunit ribosomal RNA
Source: RNAcentral
CUUAACACAUGCAAGUCGAACGGAAAGGCCCUGCUUGCAGGGUACUCGAGUGGCGAACGGGUAAGUAACACGUGGGUGAUCUGCCCUGUACUUUGGGAUAAGCCUGGGAAACUGGGUCUGAUACCGAAUAUGACCACUUCUUGGAUGGGGUGGUGGAAAGCUUUUGCGGUAUGGGAUGAGCUCGCGGCCUAUCAGCUUGUUGGUGGGGUAAUGGCCUACCAAGGCGUCGACGGGUAGCCGGCCUGAGAGGGUGUACGGCCACAUUGGGACUGAGAUACGGCCCAGACUCCUACGGGAGGCAGCAGUGGGGAAUAUUGCACAAUGGGCGCAAGCCUGAUGCAGCGACGCCGCGUGGGGGAUGACGGCCUUCGGGUUGUAAACUCCUUUCGCAACCGACGAAGCUUUUGUGACGGUAGGUUGAGAAGAAGCACCGGCUAACUACGUGCCAGCCGCCGCGGUAA